GUGAGGAAUUUUCCGCAAUGGGCGAAAGCCUGACGGAGCAAUGCCGCGUGAAGGAUGAAGGCCUAUGGGUUGUAAACUUCUUUUCUCAGAAAAGAAUUAUGACGGUAUCUGAGGAAUAAGCAUCGGCUAACUCUGUGCCAGCAGCCGCGGUAAGACAGAGGAUGCAAGCGUUAUCCGGAAUGAUUGGGCGUAAAGCGUCUGUAGGUUGUUUAAAAAGUAUUCUGUCAAAGAUUAGGGCUUAACCCUAGAUAGGCAGAAUAAACUUUUAAGCUAGAGUUUGGUAGAGGCAGAGGGAAUUCCCGGUGGAGCUGUGAAAUGCGUAGAUAUCGGGAGGAACACCAAAGGCGAAGGCACUCUGCUGGGCCAAUACUAACACUGAGAGACGAAAGCGAGGGGAGCAAAUGGGAUUAGAAACCCGGGUAGUCC
Molecule: ribosomal RNA, 426 nt
Filed under: uncultured bacterium
Lineage: Bacteria
Description: partial 16S ribosomal RNA
Rfam family: Bacterial small subunit ribosomal RNA
Source: RNAcentral